Molecule: long non-coding RNA, 235 nt
Filed under: Elaeis guineensis (African oil palm)
Lineage: Eukaryota; Viridiplantae; Streptophyta; Magnoliopsida; Arecales; Arecaceae
Description: long non-coding RNA (EGUI_LNC002458)
Source: RNAcentral
CAUCCAUUGGACUUGGGAAGGUUAACAGCAAGCUUCCAUAUGCUCCUUUCAAAUUAGACUAUUAUGGAGACAUCGGGAUACGCAUCAGAUAAAGUCACACCAAGCCAUUGAACCCCAAGAGCUCAGACCAGGGCCACUUGUGAGCUCCGAACGAACUUGCCAUACACCUUGGCCUACAAGUCCCAUGACGGCCUUGGUCUCUGCAUCGGCUACUGAUCCACUCUCGAGCCUAGCC